GCGACCCCAGGUCAGGCGAGAACACCCGCUGAGUUUAA
RNAcentral lists this ribosomal RNA (38 nucleotides) under Sabia leptandra. Its description in RNAcentral is "partial 26S ribosomal RNA". Lineage: Eukaryota; Viridiplantae; Streptophyta; Magnoliopsida; Proteales; Sabiaceae. The record is from RNAcentral.